Molecule: long non-coding RNA, 1194 nt
Filed under: Oncorhynchus kisutch (coho salmon)
Lineage: Eukaryota; Metazoa; Chordata; Actinopteri; Salmoniformes; Salmonidae
Description: lncRNA (ENSOKIG00005012560.1)
Source: RNAcentral
AUGAUAAGGCAUGAUCUGGAUAUGACCGAGGUGGUCAACCGCAAGAGACCAAAGUCUGUUCUGGAUGUGAGGUUUCUGAAUCACCAGGAGGACAUUAUUCUUCAACACAAACUGACCCUGUUAGACAUGAGGCACAGGUACACCCUCAGAGUUCUGUGUCAGGAUAGAAUCUCACUGAUGAUGGAACACAGGAAACUACUACUUCUCAAAGUCUGUGAACCUUGUGCCACUAUCAACAAAACCAUGAAAGAGAUAUCCGAAACUAAAAAGGCAAGGAUGGAUCGUGCCGUCUCUGCCUCUGACAACAGACGGUUGAAAUCCAGUAAAUCCCUUUCCAUCGACAGAGGGAAACUAGUCUCAUGUUGGCAGACAUCAAACAGUAAUGUCAUUGUAGAGAAACCUAGAAUGGUUGGGGUUGAGGCUAGAGGAACAUCAAUGCUGAGCUUGAGGAGAUCUCAGUCAGCACAGCCCAAAACUGUACACACUGCCAAUCACAGAGAGACAGAGACAGGACACUCUGCCAAGCACAGAGUGACAGAAACAGCACACUCUGCCAGGCACAGAGCGACACAAGCAAGGGCAGGGCACUCUGCCAAGCACAGAGAGACAGAGACAGGACACUCUGCCAAGCACAGAGCGACACAAGCAAGGGCAGGACACUCUGCCAAGAACAGAGAGACACAAGCAAGGGAAGGGCACUCUGCCAAACACAGAGACACAGAGGCAGGACACUCUGCCAAGCACAGAGAGACAGAGACAGGACACUCUGCCAAGCACAGAGAGACAGAGACAGGACACUCUGCCAAGCACAGAGAAACAGAGGCAGGACACUCUGUCAAGCACAGAGUGACAGAGACAGGACACUCUGCCAAACACAGAGAAACAGAGGUAGGACACUCUGCCAAACACAGAGACACAGAGGCAGGACACUCUGCCAAGCACAGAGAAACAGAGGUAGGACACUCUGCCAAGCACAGAGAAACAGAGGUAGGGGCAGGGGUGUUUUCUAUCAUGCAGCUGAGGCAAAUAUCCACUAUCGACUGUAUCUCAGAAAAGGAGCUAGCCAGCCAACAGCAACAUGCUAGAGGAGAGAAGGAGAGACUCAAACAAUGUCAGCAGGAUAUGCUAAGCCAGAAAAUAAUCAACUUUCUGAAAAAACUUGACAACACUUGUAAUGAGCAGAUAGAAACAUGA